Molecule: long non-coding RNA, 456 nt
Organism: Lycium ferocissimum
Lineage: Eukaryota; Viridiplantae; Streptophyta; Magnoliopsida; Solanales; Solanaceae
Exons: 2
Source: RefSeq, a predicted model, not a curated record
CACUCCACAGAUAGUUAAUCUGGUAGUACUCCAAAUUGGGUAGUACACUCGGUAGUACUCAUGCUCCACGAUAUCAUGUUUGCAAAAUAUUAUGAAAUGAGAUGUACAAUAAUUAGCAGUACUAAAACUGUACUAUAGUAAAAAUUUAGUACUACUAAACACUUGGGACAUUCUUGAUGAUAAAUGGAUAAGUUUUACUACUACUUGUAGUACAAUCAAACAUGUACUUGUUACACUUAUUUUGUAAAAGUAUGUACUGCAUCAACAAUCUAUAAAAAGGACAGUCAAAUUUGCUAAACUGGAGAUGCCAAGGGGAAAUUGUAGAAGAAGCAGAAAAUGACACUUUGUUGGUGACUUUGGUCUCAAAAGAGUGAUGGUGCCUAUCAUUGUUCUGCUGGUAUACACUGUAUAAUGUUAUUUAUCCUUCUUCUUUUUUUUUUUUUUUAUUUCUUUUUU